Molecule: ribosomal RNA, 253 nt
Filed under: uncultured bacterium
Lineage: Bacteria
Description: partial 16S ribosomal RNA
Rfam family: Bacterial small subunit ribosomal RNA
Source: RNAcentral
UACGGAGGGUGCGAGCGUUGUCCGGAAUCACUGGGCGUAAAGGGCGCGUAGGUGGCGCGGGCAGUCAACGGUGAAAGUUCGGGGCUCAACCCUGAAUCGGCCGUCGAUACUCCCGUGCUUGAGCACUGUAGAGGCAGAUGGAAUUCCGGGUGUAGCGGUGGAAUGCGUAGAGAUCCGGAAGAACACCGGUGGCGAAGGCGGUCUGCUGGGCAGUCGCUGACACUGAGGCGCGACAGCGUGGGGAGCAAACAGG